Molecule: ribosomal RNA, 496 nt
Filed under: uncultured Glomeromycotina
Lineage: Eukaryota; Fungi; Glomeromycota
Description: partial small subunit ribosomal RNA
Rfam family: Eukaryotic small subunit ribosomal RNA
Source: RNAcentral
CCAAUAGCGUAUAUUAAAGUUGUUGUGGUUAAAAAGCUCGUAGUUGAACCUUGGGCCUGGCUGGCCGGUCCGCCUCACCGCGUGCACUGGUCCGGCCGGGCCUUUCCCUCUGCGGAACCCCAUGCCCUUCACUGGGUGUGGCGGGGAAACAGGACUUUUACUUUGAAAAAAUUAGAGUGCUCAAGGCAGGCCUAUGCUCGAAUACAUUAGCAUGGAAUAAUAGAAUAGGACGUGUGGUUCUAUUUUGUUGGUUUCUAGGACCGCCGUAAUGAUUAAUAGGGACAGUCGGGGGCAUCAGUAUUCAAUUGUCAGAGGUGAAAUUCUUGGAUUUAUUGAAGACUAACUACUGCGAAAGCAUUUGCCAAGGAUGUUUUCAUUAAUCAGGAACGAAAGUUAGGGGAUCGAAGACGAUCAGAUACCGUCGUAGUCUUAACCAUAAACUAUGCCGACUAGGGAUCGGACGAUGUUACAUUUUUGACGCGUUCGGCACCUUACG